CUUACCUCAUUUUGGAAACUUUCGCUGUAUAAUUUUUCCUCUCGCCUACUGCACUUGGAGUAUAUUCUUGCAUAUAAAACCCCCAAAGUCACUGUUCUCCUGAUACUCAGGGACCAAAACUGCCACAUAGUCACCCUUUGAAAACUCCUCUAAUAUGACUGGUGUUGGGGGGUGGGGAGCGCAGGGGAGUGGGUGACAAAUGACAUCUUUCAACAAAGGACACACUGAGUUUCCAAGAAAAGUAAACUCUUAAGUGAAUUUCCGGUAAAUCCAAGUAUUUCUGCUGAUGAACUGAGGAAACGUCAGAAAGUGUGUGCUCAAAGAAGCACUGUGGGACCUCGAAGGCACAGCUAACCUAUCAGGCACAGGGGCGGGACCCGGAAGGCACAGCUGACCUAUCAGGCACAGAGCAGUGUGCUUUGCGCAGACCUCGCAGCCAUUCAAAGUUUACAGCCCAGGAACACAGGAUGAAGCACAAAAGGCGCAACCUGGUACAGGAACUGCGGGGUGAGCUCAAGGAUCCAAGAAGCUGUCUUUCUCCUCCUCCAUGUGGCCACUGAAAUCAGCACGCCUAGACACCAUUCAACCUCCAAAAGCUCCUGUUCUGGAGAGGCACCUGUUGUGUGAGACACUUCCUGAAAGAAGUGACCAGACCUCUACUCACCUCAGAGUGGGCACCACAACGAACCGAGGUCACCAUUCUUCUCAAGUCCAACCUAGCAAGCCAGUGGAUUUAUUGGUGUUGCUUACAGAGCAGGAGAGUAUGGGUGAGGGGGUGCUGGUGGGAGCAUGAAUGACUGACAGGCAGCUGCAUCGCUGAAAAGCCCACCCCGUGAGAGCUGCAGCCUAGAGCUCUGUACUUGGCUUGCAGGCAGCUCAACAGGUCAGACCGCCUCCCUCCUCCUUAGUCCUCUGUAGGCUCAUGGACUAAAAGCCAUCCGAGGGAAGCCAUCUGAAGCUGGAGAGAUGCUUGGCUUGGCAGUGAGGAUCCCUAGUUGCUCUUGUAGAGGAUCCAGGUUUUGUUCUCAGUCUCUACCUGGUGGCUCACAACUGCCUGUAACUUCGGUUCUAAAGGACCCCACACUCUCAUCUUGUAAGGGAGCCCCAGAGUGGGCACAGAACACACCCAGACACCAAAUUCUCACCACAAAGGAGAGUUUUUCACCCAGGAAGGACAAGGCAGGGGUGGGUGGACUGCC
This 1199-nucleotide small RNA is filed under the name Rattus norvegicus (Norway rat). RNAcentral describes it as "uncharacterized LOC102554453". The record is from RNAcentral. Lineage: Eukaryota; Metazoa; Chordata; Mammalia; Rodentia; Muridae.